CAUUCAUUCUAUUAAAAUUGAAGCUCUUCAAAAUGACUAAGUUUUAUGUCAUGCCAAUUUUUGUCAUUUUCAUUAUUUUUUCAGUUGUAACCAUGACAUGUCAAGCAGGCAAAUCAUGUACCACAGUCAAACCUGGUCCUUCUGCUACUUGUAUCCCUUAUCAGUGUGAAGAAUGGUGCUCUGAAUCUUAUAAAGGUAACGCAAAAUGUGUGCCAGAUGCAGGAGACCCUAAUAGAGCCAGAUGUUUUUGCACACAUCCAUGUUAAGCCUAUAAAAAAUAUAGCACAAUGCUCAAAAAUUAAAUGUUAAAUGUAAGAGCAUAUCAAAAUAAAUUUAAUAAAACUAUGCAUUGAUAUUUUUCAAA
Long non-coding RNA from Vicia villosa (hairy vetch), 364 nucleotides. RefSeq lists it as uncharacterized. Lineage: Eukaryota; Viridiplantae; Streptophyta; Magnoliopsida; Fabales; Fabaceae. The transcript is spliced from 2 exons. The record is from RefSeq and is a predicted model, not a curated record.